UUGGAGAGAAAGCUGUCUCAAUGAUGAAUCCUCCACCGUGGAAGUAAACGAGGAGAGGGAGUUUCGAGUCGGUCUCGGCGGCGGCUUUCUCCGGGAGGUAAAUACGGACGGAUAGGUUGUUGUCGGCAGAAUAAACAACGUCCUUGGAAACGACUCCGUUUUGUGGUUCGGAAGAAGGUGGGACGGUGGCUUCACCCAUGAGUCGCUCGAUGCGGCCACUCUUGUAGAUUUUGAGCAAUGGAGAGCAGUCGACGGCGAUCUCGGAAUCCAUGGUUAGUUGAUUGGUUGGUGAGUUAUGAUAAGAUUGGUGUGUGUGAUUUAUAUUGAGAAUGGAGUCUUUAUAACUCUAUUGGAGAUUUUGGUAUGGUUGAGACACGUGAGUUGUGUCAUUCCAUUCUUACACGGAAGAUAUGUUUGCCACACAAUUCAAAGCACACAUAUGGCAGUUGUUGACUAUGUGACAACGACUGGCACCUCUCUUUUUUCCUUUUUUAGUUUUUUUGUUUGUCUUUGGAGUUUGAACUUUGAACAUUCACUUUUAUUUCCUUUUUUGUCUAUUUAGUCUUUGAAGUUUGAUCCCUUUUUUUUUGUCUCAUUUUAAUCUUUUUUUCUCUAUUGACUACAUUUUUAUAGGUUUUGUACUAUAUUUUAAAUAAAAAUACUAGAUGAAUUUUAGUGGAUCUUGGUCUAUUUUGUUUGGUUUGGUUGUACCAUUGAGUAAUGUUACCAUUUAUUUAGACAAUCAAUCAAGACGUUAAUUAAGUGGAAAAACAAAAAUCAAGAUUACAAUAAAAAUAUUUAGUGGGCAGAAUUAAACAUCUCUUAUUAGCAAUACAAUUGAAUAUAAUGAUGUUGUAAGCAACAUGCAAAUUACUGAAACAUUAGAGAAAGUGAGACAGUGACACAUCUCAAACACCAAACUAAAAAGCACAAUGUUACUUGUCUCCCUUGAUAAACCCUGCGAAUCUGUGCACGAGUUCAUGAGCCUUUUCAGAAUUAGGAUCCCUCAAAUGAAAAACAUGACCUUCUCCCUUAGUCUCCACCACGUCCAGUACUUCUCCGUUCCAACGGCUCUUACCAAGCUUCUCCCAGUAACCCCAACCUUGCCUCACCAACGCGUCUUUCUCAGCCACCAUUACCAAAACCUUACCACAACCCAACCCGGACAAAUCCACCGACUCUGAUUGCACCACGUUGAUGAAUGGAUCAUCUGAUCCAUCUUUGCUAUUGGGACUAGCCAACGUCCAGACCGACUCGAUCCACGUCCUUAUUGCUACAUCCGUCGUCUCCUUGUCGUCGACUGGGGUUUUUGACCAGAAAUAAGGAUGAACUAAGAUGAUUCCAGAGAUUCCUGACUCGUUCAAAGACUCGGGACUGAGUUUAUCUUUCGCAGCUUUCAUCGUCAUGUGAUGCGUUAUGUUCGCUCCGGCGCUAUCUCCGGCGAGGAACACUUUGCUGAAGUCGGCGUGUUUGUUCAACCAAUCUUCUGAGCCAGAUCCGGCGAUGUGGGAGAAAACCCAUUUGAGAGCUGUCCAAGAAUCAUCGUAAGAAGUAGGAAUCGGAUGCUCCGGUGCACGUCGGUAAUCCACGGAGACCGCUACACAGUCUGACGCUGAGACAGCCGCCGUGAGGAAAGUGUGGUAAGUCGGGGAGAAAGCGGUUUCAACGAGGAAUCCUCCGCCGUGGAAGUAGACGAGGAGAGGGAGUUUUACAGAGGCUUCGGUCUCGGCGGUGGCGGCUUUCUCCGGGAGGUAAAUGCGGAGGGAGAGGUUGUUGUCAGGAGAAUAAACGACGUCCUUGGAAACGACUCCGUUUUGUGGGUUGGAAGAAGGUGGCACGGUGGUUUCACCCACGAGUCGCUCAAUGCG
RNAcentral lists this long non-coding RNA (1868 nucleotides) under Arabidopsis thaliana (thale cress). RNAcentral's name for it is "long non-coding RNA (ATHA_LNC000182)". Lineage: Eukaryota; Viridiplantae; Streptophyta; Magnoliopsida; Brassicales; Brassicaceae. The record is from RNAcentral.